GAUGAACGCUGGCGGCGUGCCUAAUACAUGCAAGUCGAGCGAACGGACGAGAAGCUUGCUUCUCUGAUGUUAGCGGCGGACGGGUGAGUAACACGUGGGUAACCUACCUAUAAGACUGGGAUAACUUCGGGAAACCGGAGCUAAUACCGGAUGAUAUUUUGAACCGCAUGGUUCAAAAGUGAAAGACGGUCUUGCUGUCACUUAUAGAUGGAUCCGCGCUGCAUUAGCUAGUUGGUAAGGUAACGGCUUACCAAGGCAACGAUGCAUAGCCGACCUGAGAGGGUGAUCGGCCACACUGGAACUGAGACACGGUCCAGACUCCUACGGGAGGCAGCAGUAGGGAAUCUUCCGCAAUGGGCGAAAGCCUGACGGAGCAACGCCGCGUGAGUGAUGAAGGUCUUCGGAUCGAAAAACUCUGUUAUUAGGGAAGAACAUAUGUGUAAGUAACUGUGCACAUCUUGACGGUACCUAAUCAGAAAGCCACGGCUAACUACGUG
Molecule: ribosomal RNA, 497 nt
Filed under: uncultured bacterium
Lineage: Bacteria
Description: partial 16S ribosomal RNA
Rfam family: Bacterial small subunit ribosomal RNA
Source: RNAcentral